RNAcentral lists this ribosomal RNA (531 nucleotides) under uncultured bacterium. RNAcentral's name for it is "bacterial SSU rRNA". It matches the Rfam family "Bacterial small subunit ribosomal RNA", at positions 66 to 643 of the family's 1533-position model. The record is from RNAcentral.
GCGCCGUAGCAAUACGGAGCGGCAGACGGGAGAGUAACACGUGGGAACGUGCCCUUCAGUUCGGAACAACCCAGGGAAACUUGGGCUAAUACCGGAUACGUCCGUAAGGAGAAAGAUUUAUCGCUGAAGGAUCGGCCCGCGUCUGAUUAGCUAGUUGGUGGGGUAAUGGCCCACCAAGGCGACGAUCAGUAGCUGGUCUGAGAGGAUGAUCAGCCUCACUGGGACUGAGACACGGCCCAGACUCCUACGGGAGGCAGCAGUGGGGAAUAUUGGACAAUGGGCGCAAGCCUGAUCCAGCCAUGCCGCGUGGGUGAUGAAGGCCCUAGGGUUGUAAAGCCCUUUCGGCGGGGAAGAUAAUGACGGUACCCGCAGAAGAAGCCCCGGCUAACUUCGUGCCAGCAGCCGCGGUAAUACGAAGGGGGCUAGCGUUGCUCGGAAUCACUGGGCGUAAAGCGCACGUAGGCGGCUUUUUAAGUCAGGGGUGAAAUCCUGGAGCUCAACUCCAGAACUGCCUUUGAUACUGAGAAGCUU